RNAcentral lists this ribosomal RNA (498 nucleotides) under uncultured bacterium. RNAcentral's name for it is "partial 16S ribosomal RNA". It matches the Rfam family "Bacterial small subunit ribosomal RNA", at positions 29 to 507 of the family's 1533-position model. The record is from RNAcentral.
AGCGAACGCUGGCGGCGUGCCUAACACAUGCAAGUCGAACGUGAAAAGGGAAACCUGAGUAAAGUGGCGUACGGGUGAGUAACGCGUAGGUAAUCUACCCCAGAAUCUGGAAUAACCUGCCGAAAGGCGGGCUAAUACUGGAUAGAGCGAGGGAACUCGUAAGAGAGUUUUUCGGGAAAGGGAGCCCGCAAGGGCCUUCGUUCUGGGAUGAGCCUGCGUCUCAUUAGCUAGUUGGUAAGGUAACGGCUUACCAAGGCGAUGAUGAGUAGCUGGUCUGAGAGGAUGAUCAGCCACACUGGAACUGAAACACGGUCCAGACUCCUACGGGAGGCAGCAGUGGGGAAUCUUGCGCAAGAGACGAAAGUCUGACGCAGCCACGCCGCGUGAGUGAAGAAGGCCUUCGGGUUGUAAAGCUCUGUCGGAUGGGACGAACAUCUUCAUAGUGAAUAGCUAUGAGGACUGACGGUACCAGCAAAGGAAGCACCGGCUAACUCCGUG